GAACGCUGGCGGCAGGCCUAACACAUGCAAGUCGAACGGUAACAGGAAACAGCUUGCUGUUUCGCUGACGAGUGGCGGACGGGUGAGUAAUGUCUGGGAAACUGCCUGAUGGAGGGGGAUAACUACUGGAAACGGUAGCUAAUACCGCAUAACGUCGCAAGACCAAAGAGGGGGACCCUCGGGCCUCUUGCCAUCGGAUGUGCCCAGAUGGGAUUAGCUUGUUGGUGGGGUAACGGCUCACCAAGGCGACGAUCCCUAGCUGGUCUGAGAGGAUGACCAGCCACACUGGAACUGAGACACGGUCCAGACUCCUACGGGAGGCAGCAGUGGGGAAUAUUGCACAAUGGGCGCAAGCCUGAUGCAGCCAUGCCGCGUGUAUGAAGAAGGCCUUCGGGUUGUAAAGUACUUUCAGCGGGGAGGAAGGGAGUAAAGUUAAUACCUUUGCUCAUUGACGUUACCCGCAGAAGAAGCACCGGCUAACUCCGUGCCAGCAGCCGCGGUAAUACGGAGGGUGCAAGCGUUAAUCGGAAUUACUGGGCGUAAAGCGCACGCAGGCGGUUUGUUAAGUCAGAUGUGAAAUCCCCGGGCUCAACCUGGGAACUGCAUCUGAUACUGGCAAGCUUGAGUCUCGUAGAGGGGGGUAGAAUUCCAGGUGUAGCGGUGAAAUGCGUAGAGAUCUGGAGGAAUACCGGUGGCGAAGG
Molecule: ribosomal RNA, 701 nt
Filed under: uncultured Pseudomonadota bacterium
Lineage: Bacteria; Pseudomonadati; Pseudomonadota
Description: bacterial SSU rRNA
Rfam family: Bacterial small subunit ribosomal RNA
Source: RNAcentral